Molecule: long non-coding RNA, 3689 nt
Organism: Ctenopharyngodon idella (grass carp)
Lineage: Eukaryota; Metazoa; Chordata; Actinopteri; Cypriniformes; Xenocyprididae
Exons: 2
Source: RefSeq, a predicted model, not a curated record
UCUUUACACAGAAGUGUGUCUGCGUGCUGCGCCAGGUCUCUGGCUCUCUGACGGGCAAACGCACGCUUGUACUGCUCCACAGCGCCCGGCUUCACCGGCAUAGGGGUAUUUACCUGGAAACACCAGCAGAGAUGCUGCUCUUGAAUUUGCAAGAACAACAAAUGCAAGAAUGAAGGCCAAUCACAGUUCGAUAUGCAAAUAUCACAAAUGAUGUCAUCGCUGUCUGUUGGCGAAAAUUCUAACCGUCUGAAGAUGACAACGAUAUACGAGUGCAAUAAUGCCCGUUCCCGUUUUCAGCGGCGCUGGUUCCGGUAAUUUUUCCCAUGGGGGAAAACUCUUCGUUAAAGAGUUAGAUGCCACAAACCAAACCAAUCAGCUACAAGAUGAAUCACAACACUACAAACUUUGAUUUGAAGCAAAAAAGCUUUUGAAAAUAGGACAAAAAGACAAAAGUACAAGACUGUGAACUUAACGGCUUUAGUGAGGGAAAGAACUACAAUCCCAUGAAGCAUUAAAGAGCUAUUUUUAAGCGUGUUGCUUUUCUUGACUCUGAUUGGUGGAAUUUUUGCAUAGCAUCAUGGGUAAUGUAGUUUUUACCGCUGUUAAACACAAUUAUUUUAAACAAAAGCUGAAAUAAUGUGAGCUGACAUCUUCAAAAGAUGCAAAUAUUAUCGAUUAACAACCUCGGAGCUCACAGUAGGGCUGUCUUUAAAAGUUUACAAGUUAUCAUUCAAAAUCAACUUCCCUAUGGAGAAAAUGAAUGGAGUUUUUACUUCAUCAACACAUAUCUAAAGUACUAAAACUUCUGAACUAUUUAAAACAGAAUCAGCUUUAACUAGGAACAAUGGGAGUGACAGUAGUCCAUCUGUAUGUCCAGCAUGUGUGCGUGUGUGUGCUGAUACAAACGGAUAACAGCUGUUGUGCUGUGACCGUCAGUCAUUAUUACCCAUGAGCAUCAGAGAGCCAACAGGUGGCCGUACAGGUGGACUAGAGUUACAGUGUAACACACAUACAAAGGGUGAGGAGUUCAGUGUCUUUAUGUUUAAACUCUCUCACGUCAUCAUCCACUUCUCUGUGUGUAGAUUUGUCUUGUGUUAUGUAUCCAGUGUUGUCGCUCUACAUCAAAAGCUCAAUGUCAUUGUAAAACUGAAGGUUGUUUAACAAUAGACCUGUAAUGUAUUUAAAUAGUCACGGUCAGUCAGAACAAAGUCAACACAAAACCAUCAAUAAAAACUCUGUGGUUUGCCUUUAUAUCUGAGACACAAGAGAGCACUGAAUGACUGUGUUUGAGGAGUAAACACUGGAUGGGUUGCUGAGAUCCAUACAGAUGCAGAAUUUCAACAUCCAGCAAAGGCAAAAGGGUAGACCAUGACUAGUUCAUUAAUCCAACAAUAAAAUAAAGGAAUAGUUCCAUUAAAAAGUAAUAUAUUGUCAUAAUUUACUGAUGCAUGUUAUGCCUUCAUAAUCAGAUCUCAAAUAAAGUCCAACUUUAAGAGAUCCCUUUACUUUUACACUGAUGACUGAAAUGCAUUUAAGGCAAAAUAACAGGUGAAUAGUGUAAAAAACGCAAUCAGCUGGGACAGUAUGGUGAUAUCUAUUAAUCACAUUACAAUAUAGCAAUUGUUUUGUAUCAUAAGUUUUCUGACAAAUAAUGCAUUAUCUAAUUAAUAUGCACUAAUUUGCAUACAAUUCCAGAACAGAAAUCUGAACACUGCAUAAAGCCAGAUUCAACAUUAGUUUAAUUUUGUUGACAGUUUUUGGAUUUCUCUUUUUAUCACUCCAUAAAUCAGAAAAUACUGUUGUCAGACAGAAAUGAAAAGACAUUUACCAUGUUUUUAGGAGUAAUGAAUCAGGCGAAUGAUAUAUGAACAAACCAUUCAGAAUAUAGACAGUAAAGUUUGGUGUGUGUAAAGCUCAAACUCUCCUCCUUUAAAGAUACGGAUUGAAAUUGAAAUUUACAUAUGCAAAUAGAUAAAGUAGAUAAAAAAAUAAAAAAUAAAAAAAAAAACACUUUGUAUUUUGGAUGUUUUCAUUCCACUAGUCUGAAAGAAGACUGUUAUAGAAGUGAAAUAGCCCAAAAUCUCAAAAUUGACCAGUGCAUGAAAAAAAACAAUGGUUUUGCCUGAAGUGUCUCGCCUUAAGGACCUGAUAUACUUCAUUUCGAACAAAAUCAGGCCAAAACGAAGUUUGUUUUGAGUUUGUUUCGGGAGUUUGAAACAGCUUGCCAAGCGAACUUUCCGGAAAAGUUUGCUCUGGCUGGUAAACGCCAUCGAACUACCAUUGGUCCGUGGUGAUGAUGCAAUAGGUAGGCGUGACUCUGAGGCUCCACCUUCUUUGAUGUGGAAAUCUUCUCCAGUUCAUUUGCCUUAGUGCCCGCCCCCAUUUUUUAGCGGAGCUGGUUUCGGAAGUACUUUUUCCAAUCAUUUUUCUCAUAGAGAUUUAGAAAAAAGUCUUCGUUAAAGGAGUUAAGAUGCCAUGAACCAAGCCAAUCGGCUACAAGGUGAAUCAUAACACUACAAAUUUGAUUUGAAGCAAAAAAAAAAAAAAAAAAUUGAAAAUCUGACAAAAAGACAAAAGUACAAGACUGUGAACUUAACGGUUUUAAUGAGGGAAAGAACUACAAUCCCAUGAAGCAUUGCGAACAGCAUUAUUAAAAACGAUGGAGAAACGAUGUAAUAUUCUGUACAGCAUCAUGGGUAAUGUAGUUUUUCACCAGGAAUUCUAUUGUUAAACAUGAUUAUUUUAAACAUAAGCUGAAAUAAUGCGGAUAGAUAAUAGGUAGGUGUGGCUCUGAGGCUCCACCUUCUUUGACAUGGAAAUCUUCUCCGGUUCAUUUCUCCUGUUCAGUCCCUCGAGGUCAGAUGUUCGUGAGUAAAAACAUGAACACACUGGAGAGCCGCUUUAUGGUAGAAAAUGUAGUUGUAAUUCUAAUUGAAAGCAACACUGACACUGUUUUUCAUGUUUAAUACUGUAAAGCUGCUGCUUUUAAACAAUCUAUUGUAUAAAAGUGGUAUAUAAAUAAACGUGACGUGACUUUACCGGAGUGCCGAAUCGCAAACAUAUCCACGUCACUAUGAUCAGAUGCUUUCCAAACUGCUGUUUUCUCACCACUGUCAUUUUUGUUGUGUGUUUAUUGUGUUAUUGAGAGGAAAGCGCAGCACAUAUUUACAUAUGCAGCGUGGACGGUCUUGAAAUGUUUGUUAACAGUAUAUCGCUGCAAAGGUAUUUCAACUUCUUUUUACCGCAAAAUGAAGAACAAAAAAGAAGUUUGUCGUAAGUAUAUCGGGACCUUUAAAGAGCUAAAAAAAAUACCUUCCACACCCUGAAGAUGCAUAAAUGAGUACGCACCACUUUCAGGUUGGCUUCCUGCAGUUUUCGCGCUCUCUCCUCCAGACGCUUGGCGAUGACGGCGAGUUCGGUGUUCUUCUUCCUCAACCUCUUCACCUUCUCCUCCGUUUCUGGAGAACUGCUCUUUCUCUGAGGAUUCACCGAUAUUGGACGAGAGAGAGAGAAUUUGAGAGACAGAAAAUGAGAUUAAAGAUUGUUCAAAGUGGUGAAAUAUAAAGCAAAGCUCAUUUUGUAUUAAAAAAAAUGUAUAUUAAACACUCAUGUUGCACCACAGGAAUAUUCAUGUAAACCGCUAACAAACCAAAAUGUGAUUAAAUAUGAUGAAUAUCUUAAAGGGCUCA